RNAcentral lists this transfer-messenger RNA (359 nucleotides) under Anaerotignum sp. It matches the Rfam family "transfer-messenger RNA". Rfam says of the family: Bacterial tmRNA, also known as 10Sa RNA or SsrA, is named for its dual tRNA and mRNA-like properties. Its role is to liberate the mRNA from a stalled ribosome. The record is from RNAcentral. Lineage: Bacteria; Bacillati; Bacillota; Clostridia; Lachnospirales; Anaerotignaceae. RNAcentral also lists the same sequence under 1 other name.
GGGGAUGUAAUGGUUUCGACGGGAGUCUUGAAAGUAGGGAUAGCCAUCCGCAGGCCGGUGAACUGCGUCAUCAAGCCGGAAACUUUUCUAAAAAGAAACGACAACAAUAAAUUAGCAUACGCUGCCUAAUUGCGGCAGCUGUCAACCCCCCGGAUUCCUGCCGCCGGGGAGCUUGGCAUCGACUUGGCGGGGCACUUUUUCGCUUAAGCUUUGCGGCGGAAAAAGACUCAUGAAGCUACCAAGGAACAUAGCCUGUCAUUCGGCGAUGGUCUGAGGGAAUUCUAAAAGACUGACUGUGAUGGGAGAAGUUCUUACAGAUGGGUUUUCGGACAGGGGUUCGACUCCCCUCAUCUCCAUUC